Molecule: small nuclear RNA, 107 nt
Organism: Capra hircus (goat)
Lineage: Eukaryota; Metazoa; Chordata; Mammalia; Artiodactyla; Bovidae
Source: Ensembl
GUAGUCACUUCAGCAGCACACCUACUAAAAUUGGAAUGAUACAGAAAAGGUUACCAUGGCCUCUGUGCAAGGAUGACACAUAAGCUGGUAAAUCAUUCCAUAUUUUU